UACGAAGGGGACUAGCGUUGUUCGGAAUCACUGGGCGUAAAGCGCACGUAGGCGGAUGUGUCAGUCAGGGGUGAAAUCCCGGGGCUCAACCUCGGAACUGCCUUUGAUACAGCACGUCUCGAGUCCGGAAGAGGUGGGUGGAAUUCCUAGUGUAGAGGUGAAAUUCGUAGAUAUUAGGAAGAACACCGGUGGCGAAGGCGGCCCACUGGUCCGGUACUGACGCUGAGGUGCGAAAGCGUGGGGAGCGAACAGG
RNAcentral lists this ribosomal RNA (253 nucleotides) under uncultured bacterium. Its description in RNAcentral is "partial 16S ribosomal RNA". It matches the Rfam family "Bacterial small subunit ribosomal RNA", at positions 524 to 776 of the family's 1533-position model. The record is from RNAcentral.